This 471-nucleotide ribosomal RNA is filed under the name uncultured bacterium. RNAcentral describes it as "bacterial SSU rRNA". It matches the Rfam family "Bacterial small subunit ribosomal RNA", at positions 28 to 381 of the family's 1533-position model. The record is from RNAcentral.
GAUGAACGCUGGCGGCGUGCUUAACACAUGCAAGUCGAGCGGGCAAUUUAUCUAGCACUGAUUACUUCAAAUGGAAAUCAUAAGUGUAAUCAUGAAUUUCUACCUUUAAUAAGGGAAAAAGAAAUUCAUGUACGCAAAUAGUGAUAACACAUGAAAGUGGAGUGAUGAGUGCUGGAUAAAUUGCUAGCGGCGGACGGGUGCGUAACACGUGGGUAACCUGCCCCUAUCACUGGGAUAACACACUGAAAAGUGUGCUAAUACCAGAUAAUAUAAGCUUUUGGCAUCAUUAGCUUAUCAAAGAAUUUCGGAUAGGGAUGGGCCCGCGUCUGAUUAGCUAGUUGGUGAGGUAACGGCUCACCAAGGCAACGAUCAGUAGCCGACCUGAGAGGGUGAUCGGCCACACUGGAACUGAGACACGGUCCAGACUCCUACGGGAGGCAGCAGUGGGGAAUUUUGGACAAUGGGCGCAAG